Molecule: ribosomal RNA, 253 nt
Filed under: uncultured bacterium
Lineage: Bacteria
Description: partial 16S ribosomal RNA
Rfam family: Bacterial small subunit ribosomal RNA
Source: RNAcentral
UACGGAGGGUGCGAGCGUUGUCCGGAUUUAUUGGGUUUAAAGGGUGCGUAGGCGGCCUGUUAAGUCCGGGGUGAAAGCCCGUUGCUCAACAACGGAACUGCCCUGGAUACUGGCGGGCUUGAGUACAGGCGAGGUUGGCGGAAUGGACGGAGUAGCGGUGAAAUGCAUAGAUACCGUCCAGAACCCCGAUUGCGAAGGCAGCUGACUAGGCUGUAACUGACGCUGAGGCACGACAGCGUGGGGAGCGAACAGG